AAAACCCUUUGUGUAAAAUGAACUUGAAAGCGUAACAAAGGCUGUAAAUUCCAAUGGAGUUGGCUCCUGCGACUUUCCACUCCUCUUGCUCGUUAUCAGUAACAGCUCCUUCUUCAAUUUUUUUUCGAGCCCAAUCACCUUCUCUCUCCUUCUUUAGAUACUCAACUCCAAAUGUUAAUUUAUGUUCUCAGUUCAAAGGUUUUUCGCUUACAAUUGUUGGGACUCAACGGCGGAGGUCUUCUCCGGCCGCCGUUAUUGGCGGUGCAACUGAAGUAUCUGAUGAUAGGCAAGAGGAGGAACUGACGGCGGCUGAUGAUGAUCCUGAAAGAAAAGAAAAAGGUAGUGUUGAUGAGGAUAAAAUGGUUGGCGUAUGUGACAAGCUAAUCGGGGUUUUCAUGGUUGACAAGCCUACACCUACUGACUGGAGAAGGUUACUUGCUUUUAGCAAGGAAUGGGACAAUAUUCGACCUCAUUUUUAUAGGCGCUGUCAAGAACGAGCAGAUAGUGAAAAUGAUCCUGGGAUUAAGCAUAAGCUACUUAGGCUAGCGAGGAAGCUGAAAGAGAUUGAUGAAGACGUGCAAAGACAUAAUGAACUUCUUGAAGUGAUCAAGAAGGCACCAUCACAGCUAAGUGAAGUUGUUUCUAAGCGUCGAAAAGAUUUCACAAAAGAAUUUUUUGUGCAUCUUUUCACUGUAGCACAAUCCUAUCAUGACAACCCGACUGAGCAAAAUGCUUUGGCAAAGCUUGGAAAUGAUUGUGUUGCUGCUGUGCAAGCCUAUGAUAAUGCAACAGAAAGCGUUGAAGCACUGAAUGCUGCCCAGCUGAAGUUGCAAGAUAUUAUCAAUUCUCCUUCUCUGGAUGCCGCUUGCAGGAAAAUAGAUGAUUUGGCUGCAAAAAAUCAACUUGAUUCAUCAUUGGUUCUGAUGAUCACAAAAGCAUGGUCGGCUGCUAAAGAGUCCAACAUGACAAAAGAUGAGGUAAAAGACAUACUAUAUCAUCUCUACAAGACUGCAGUAGGUAAUCUUCAGAGGAACAUUCCAAAGGACAUUAGGAUACUAAAAUAUCUUCUUAAAAUUGAGGAUCCUGAGGAACGUUUGUGUGCAUUGAAAGAUGCAUUUACUCCAGGAGAAGAACUUGAAGGAAAGGACGUGGACUGCCUGUACACGACCCCUGAAAAAUUACACACCUGGAUUAAGGCAGUGGUGAAUGCAUACCAUUCCAGUCAAGAAGGCACUCUUGUAAGAGAGGCUAGGGAUCUUAUGAAUCCAAACAUCAUCAAGAAGAUGGAGGAACUGAAGAAGCUAGUUGAAGACAAUUUCAUGUGACAACAGAGGUUAUGUUUGCUUAUUAUUGUUCAUGGAAUGCAUACUGCAUGUUUCAUGGAAACCAAAUAUCCCAAGCCAAGGGAGCUAAUUAGCUACUUGGAAUCGUUUUUAAAGGGAAAAGUGAUAGCAGCAUUGUUACGUGGCUCUAUUUUACUAAACAGUAACCUUAUAUCAAUCUAUCAGAGUAUCCAAAUCCAACCUUAAAAGUUGAACACUGGCCCAAUUGAAGCUCAAAAUGUUGGCUGAAACUCAGAUUCGCGAUUCUUGAUCAUCCUCUUCUGCCUUCUUUCAAUAGUCUUCUCCAUGAUUUCAUCAGAAUACUGACGUUUCUUGUCAGCAAUAACAACUGCCUGAGACUCUGAAGAAGCAGUUGUAGAAAUUGCUGAUACUGGUAUAGUCAUACCCAUCUGGUUCUCUCCAUAUCCACCGUGAUCAUGCCCGAUAAUCGAUGACUUGUCAUGAUAAACUGAUGAUGAUGAUUCAGAUGCAUGAAAAUUAGUCGAAGAAUCCAAAACACUCAUUUGCUGUCUUUGCACGGCUGCCAUUUGCAGUUGUAGCCAAUCUGCCAUUGGAUCAUGCAUUCCCACAAUAGGUUGAUGAUGAUGAGGAAUAUUAAACAAACCAUUUUGAUUAUUCCCUAUGUUUGUAACACCGGAUCGAACCAAGAAAUCUUCAAGAGUAGUUUCUUGAUGAA
Molecule: RNA transcript, 2019 nt
Organism: Jatropha curcas
Lineage: Eukaryota; Viridiplantae; Streptophyta; Magnoliopsida; Malpighiales; Euphorbiaceae
Source: RefSeq, a predicted model, not a curated record